This is a long non-coding RNA of Dendronephthya gigantea, 197 nucleotides long. RefSeq lists it as uncharacterized. Lineage: Eukaryota; Metazoa; Cnidaria; Anthozoa; Malacalcyonacea; Nephtheidae. The transcript is spliced from 4 exons. The record is from RefSeq and is a predicted model, not a curated record.
AUACAAUGCAUAAAAUUCAAAAGCUUAUAUUCUUUUAUACUUUAAACAUUCUAGCGUAUCGAAACUAUAUCACGAGCUUUGCGAAGUAAAUAACCAAGAUAGACGUCUCCGUUUUCAAGCCACGGAAGUAAGGCAGAGAUCGGCAGAGAUUUUGAAAGAUCAUCGCAGAUGAGAAGACAUGGGCAAAAUUAGCCGAG